RNAcentral lists this ribosomal RNA (433 nucleotides) under uncultured bacterium. Its description in RNAcentral is "partial 16S ribosomal RNA". It matches the Rfam family "Bacterial small subunit ribosomal RNA", at positions 29 to 507 of the family's 1533-position model. The record is from RNAcentral.
AACGAACGCUGGCGGCAUGCCUAACACAUGCAAGUCGAACGAGACCUUCGGGUCUAGUGGCGCCCGGGUGCGUAACGCGUGGGAACCUGCCCUUAGGGUCGGAAUAACUCCCCGAAAGGGGUGCUAAUACCGGAUAAUGUCUUCGGACCAAAGAUUUAUCGCCUUUGGAUGGGCCCGCGUUGGAUUAGCUAGUUGGUAGGGUAAAAGCCUACCAAGGCGACGAUCCAUAGCUUGGCUGAGAGGAUGGUCAGCCACACUGGGACUGAGACACGGCCCAGACUCCUACGGGAGGCAGCAGUGGGGAAUAUUGGACCAUGGGCGAAAGCCUGAUCCAGCAAUGCCGCGUGAGUGAUGAAGGCCUUAGGGUUGUAAAGCUCUUUUAACCGGGAUGAUAAUGACAGUACCGGGAGAAUAAGCCCCGGCUAACUCCGUG